GAUGAACGCUGGCGGCGUGCUUAACACAUGCAAGUCGAGCGAAGCGGUUUCAAUGAAGUUUUCGGAUGGAUUUGAGAUUGACUUAGCGGCGGACGGGUGAGUAACGCGUGGGUAACCUGCCUUACACUGGGGGAUAACAGUUAGAAAUGACUGCUAAUACCGCAUAAGCGCACGCUACCGCAUGGUAGCGUGUGAAAAACUCCGGUGGUGUGAGAUGGAUCCGCGUCUGAUUAGCCAGUUGGCGGGGUAACGGCCCACCAAAGCGACGAUCAGUAGCCGACCUGAGAGGGUGACCGGCCACAUUGGGACUGAGACACGGGCCCAAACCCCUACGGGAGGCAGCAGUGAGGAAUAUUGGUCAAUGGCCGAGAGGCUGAACCAGCCAAGUCGCGUGAA
This 396-nucleotide ribosomal RNA is filed under the name uncultured bacterium. RNAcentral describes it as "bacterial SSU rRNA". It matches the Rfam family "Bacterial small subunit ribosomal RNA", at positions 28 to 405 of the family's 1533-position model. The record is from RNAcentral.